UGCAAGUCGAACGGGCGGUAGCAAUACCGUCAGUGGCGGACGGGUGAGUAACACGUGGAUAACCUGCCUGACUCCCCGGGAUAACAGACCGAAAGGUCCGCUAAUACCGGGUAAGCUCACGGGGCCGCAUGGUCCUGGGAGAAAAGGUCCUGCAAGGGACUGGGGACAGAGGGGUCCGCGGCCCAUUAGCUAGUUGGGGGGGUAACGGCCCACCAAGGCGACGAUGGGUAGCCGGCCUGAGAGGGCGACCGGCCACACUGGGACUGAGACACGGCCCAGACUCCUACGGGAGGCAGCAGUCGGGAAUUUUGGGCAAUGGCCGAAAGGGCUGACCCAGCAACGCCGCGUGAGUGAAGAAGGCCUUCGGGUUGUAAAGCUCUGUUGCCCGGGAAGAACGGUAGCUUCAGGAAAUGGGAGUUACUUGACGGUACCGGGAGAGGAAGCUCCGGCUAACUACGUGCCAGCAGCCGCGGUAAUACGUAGGGAGCGAGCGUUGUCCGGAUUUAUUGGGCGUAAAGGGCGUGUAGGCGGCUUUUUAAGUCAGGGGUGAAACCCCGGGGCUCAACCCCGGGCCUGCCUCUGAAACUGGGAAGCUUGAGUGCUCUA
RNAcentral lists this ribosomal RNA (606 nucleotides) under uncultured bacterium. RNAcentral's name for it is "bacterial SSU rRNA". It matches the Rfam family "Bacterial small subunit ribosomal RNA", at positions 56 to 653 of the family's 1533-position model. The record is from RNAcentral.